This 465-nucleotide ribosomal RNA is filed under the name uncultured bacterium. RNAcentral's name for it is "partial 16S ribosomal RNA". It matches the Rfam family "Bacterial small subunit ribosomal RNA", at positions 338 to 795 of the family's 1533-position model. The record is from RNAcentral.
CCUACGGGCGGCAGCAGUGGGGAAUAUUGCGCAAUGGGCGAAAGCCUGACGCAGCGACGCCGCGUGAGGGAUGAAGGUCUUCGGAUCGUAAACCUCUGUCAGCAGGGAAGAACGGUCACUGUGCUAAUCAGCAGUGAAUUGACGGUACCUGCAAAGGAAGCACCGGCUAACUCCGUGCCAGCAGCCGCGGUAAUACGGAGGGUGCGAGCGUUAAUCGGAAUUACUGGGCGUAAAGCGCUCGUAGGCGGUAUGUCAAGUCAAGGGUGAAAUCCCCGCGCUCAACGUGGGAAGUGCCUUUGAAACUGGCAAACUGGAGUGUGUGAGAGGAUAGUGGAAUUCCAUGUGUAGGAGUGAAAGCCGUAGAUAUCUGGAGGAACAUCAGUGGCGAAGGCGACUAUCUGGCACAUAACUGACGCUGAGGAGCGAAAGCGUGGGUAGCAAACAGGAUUAGAUACCCGGGUAGUC